ACAGCAAACGGAAGAGAUCAGCGCUGAGCGGUUUUAAGUGAUCUUUCACACGUGUGACAGCAGGUCCUCACGUCCUGUGCGUCCUCCGUGCGCAUGACGUCACCGACGUCUCGAGCUGUUUGUUCUGGAUUGUGGGAGAGAGAAAGAGCCUGCGCGCCCUCACAACAAAAUAACGGAGUAGCGUGAUCGGCGUAGCCUGCAUCUGAGCUGGUGACUUUUCUCUCUGGACGGCUUGAAAGCAGCUCUUCUGCUGAGUGCUCCUGGAGAAGAUGUGUGCGCUCAGAUAAGAGACUCUUCACACAAGAGACAAAAAUAUGAUCCGUGUCCUCCAGAGGACGUCUACUGCUGUGAGCAUGUGCGAGUUACGACAGGUG
Sinocyclocheilus anshuiensis is the source of this 374-nucleotide long non-coding RNA. RefSeq lists it as uncharacterized. Lineage: Eukaryota; Metazoa; Chordata; Actinopteri; Cypriniformes; Cyprinidae. The transcript has 3 exons. The record is from RefSeq and is a predicted model, not a curated record.